Molecule: ribosomal RNA, 979 nt
Filed under: Salmonella enterica subsp. enterica serovar Weltevreden
Lineage: Bacteria; Pseudomonadati; Pseudomonadota; Gammaproteobacteria; Enterobacterales; Enterobacteriaceae
Description: bacterial SSU rRNA
Rfam family: Bacterial small subunit ribosomal RNA
Source: RNAcentral
AAGCGUUAAUCGGAAUUACUGGGCGUAAAGCGCACGCAGGCGGUCUGUCAAGUCGGAUGUGAAAUCCCCGGGCUCAACCUGGGAACUGCAUUCGAAACUGGCAGGCUUGAGUCUUGUAGAGGGGGGUAGAAUUCCAGGUGUAGCGGUGAAAUGCGUAGAGAUCUGGAGGAAUACCGGUGGCGAAGGCGGCCCCCUGGACAAAGACUGACGCUCAGGUGCGAAAGCGUGGGGAGCAAACAGGAUUAGAUACCCUGGUAGUCCACGCCGUAAACGAUGUCUACUUGGAGGUUGUGCCCUUGAGGCGUGGCUUCCGGAGCUAACGCGUUAAGUAGACCGCCUGGGGAGUACGGCCGCAAGGUUAAAACUCAAAUGAAUUGACGGGGGCCCGCACAAGCGGUGGAGCAUGUGGUUUAAUUCGAUGCAACGCGAAGAACCUUACCUGGUCUUGACAUCCACGGAAGUUUUCAGAGAUGAGAAUGUGCCUUCGGGAACCGUGAGACAGGUGCUGCAUGGCUGUCGUCAGCUCGUGUUGUGAAAUGUUGGGUUAAGUCCCGCAACGAGCGCAACCCUUAUCCUUUGUUGCCAGCGGUCCGGCCGGGAACUCAAAGGAGACUGCCAGUGAUAAACUGGAGGAAGGUGGGGAUGACGUCAAGUCAUCAUGGCCCUUACGACCAGGGCUACACACGUGCUACAAUGGCGCAUACAAAGAGAAGCGACCUCGCGAGAGCAAGCGGACCUCAUAAAGUGCGUCGUAGUCCGGAUUGGAGUCUGCAACUCGACUCCAUGAAGUCGGAAUCGCUAGUAAUCGUGGAUCAGAAUGCCACGGUGAAUACGUUCCCGGGCCUUGUACACACCGCCCGUCACACCAUGGGAGUGGGUUGCAAAAGAAGUAGGUAGCUUAACCUUCGGGAGGGCGCUUACCACUUUGUGAUUCAUGACUGGGGUGAAGUCGUAACAAGGUAACCGUAGGGGAACCUGC